RNAcentral lists this ribosomal RNA (492 nucleotides) under uncultured bacterium. RNAcentral describes it as "partial 16S ribosomal RNA". It matches the Rfam family "Bacterial small subunit ribosomal RNA", at positions 29 to 507 of the family's 1533-position model. The record is from RNAcentral.
AGUGAACGCUGGCGGUAGGCCUAACACAUGCAAGUCGAACGGCAGCACAGUAAGAGCUUGCUCUUACGGGUGGCGAGUGGCGGACGGGUGAGGAAUACAUCGGAAUCUACUUUUUCGUGGGGGAUAACGUAGGGAAACUUACGCUAAUACCGCAUACGACCUACGGGUGAAAGCAGGGGAUCUUCGGACCUUGCGCGAUUGAAUGAGCCGAUGUCGGAUUAGCUAGUUGGCGGGGUAAAGGCCCACCAAGGCGACGAUCCGUAGCUGGUCUGAGAGGAUGAUCAGCCACACUGGAACUGAGCCACGGUCCAGACUCCUACGGGAGGCAGCAGUGGGGAAUAUUGGACAAUGGGCGCAAGCUUGAUCCAGCCAUACCGCGUGGGUGAAGAAGGCCUUCGGGUUGUAAAGCCCUUUUGUUGGGAAAGAAAAGCAGCAGGUUAAUACCCCGCUGUUCUGACGGUACCCAAAGAAUAAGCACCGGCUAACUUCGUG